CUACUGCACUUCAGACCCAGGCCCUGCUCCUGCCCUCAGGCUUUUGUCUCAGGCCCCCUGUGCCAGUUCCUUCAAUGAGCAGCAGGGACCCCAGGUUAGAAAACACCCAUCUUGGAUCCCAAUGCAGAAACCAUGGCCUGCUCUUACUCUUUAUUCUGAACAAUGGCUUGCCUUGGAAAGUCAUGUGGCUGUGCCUGAGCGUCUAUUAAGAGUCCCUGUCAAGUUGGCCAGGUUGACCACCUACUGGGUUCCAUUUGUUCAGAUUCACUUGUGGAGUUGGUCCAGCCUUGACUUGUGGGGGAGAAAUGGUGCAGCUGGACAGCUACAGCCUUGGAGCGGAGGAAGAUAAACCUCAGCAGGGGCUCUUAAAGAUACAGGGACUCCACACU
This is a long non-coding RNA of Rhineura floridana, 389 nucleotides long. RefSeq lists it as uncharacterized. The record is from RefSeq and is a predicted model, not a curated record. NCBI's taxonomy places the organism in Eukaryota, Metazoa, Chordata, Lepidosauria, Squamata, Rhineuridae. The transcript has 3 exons.